This 459-nucleotide ribosomal RNA is filed under the name uncultured bacterium. RNAcentral describes it as "partial 16S ribosomal RNA". It matches the Rfam family "Bacterial small subunit ribosomal RNA", at positions 338 to 795 of the family's 1533-position model. The record is from RNAcentral.
CCUACGGGAGGCAGCAGUGAGGAAUAUUGGUCAAUGGGCGUAAGCCUGAACCAGCCAAGUCGCGUGAGGGAUGAAGGUUCUAUGGAUCGUAAACCUCUUUUAUAAGGGAAUAAAGUGUGGGACGUGUCCUGUUUUGUAUGUACCUUAUGAAUAAGGAUCGGCUAACUCCGUGCCAGCAGCCGCGGUAAUACGGAGGAUGCGAGCGUUAUCCGGAUUUAUUGGGUUUAAAGGGUGCGUAGGCGGGAUGCCAAGUCAUCGGUAAAAUUGCGGUGCUCAACGCCGUCGAGCCGUUGAAACUGGCGGUCUUGAGUGGGCGAGAAGUAUUCGGAAUGCGUGGUGUAGCGGUGAAAUGCAUAGAUAUCACGCAGAACUCCGAUUGCGAAGGCAGCAUACCGGCGCCCAACUGACGCUGAGGCACGAAAGCGUGGGUAUCGAACAGGAUUAGAUACCCCAGUAGUC